UGGGGAAUAUUGCACAAUGGGCGCAAGCCUGAUGCAGCCAUGCCGCGUGUAUGAAGAAGGCCUUCGGGUUGUAAAGUACUUUCAGCGGGGAGGCAGGGAGUAAAGUUAAUACCUUUGCUCAUUGACGUUACCCGCAGAAGAAGCACCGGCUAACUCCGUGCCAGCAGCCGCGGUAAUACGGAGGGUGCAAGCGUUAAUCGGAAUUACUGGGCGUAAAGCGCACGCAGGCGGUUUGUUAAGUCAGAUGUGAAAUCCCCGGGCUCAACCUGGGAACUGCAUUCGAAACUGGCAGGCUAGAGUCUUGUAGAGGGGGGUAGAAUUCCAGGUGUAGCGGUGAAAUGCGUAGAGAUCUGGAGGGAUACCGGUGGCGAAGGCGGCCCCCUGGACAAAGACUGACGCUCAGGUGCGAAAGCGUGGGGAGCAAACAGG
Molecule: ribosomal RNA, 429 nt
Filed under: Chloroflexota bacterium
Lineage: Bacteria; Bacillati; Chloroflexota
Description: Chloroflexi bacterium partial 16S ribosomal RNA
Rfam family: Bacterial small subunit ribosomal RNA
Source: RNAcentral